Rhinolophus ferrumequinum (greater horseshoe bat) is the source of this 823-nucleotide long non-coding RNA. RefSeq lists it as uncharacterized. The record is from RefSeq and is a predicted model, not a curated record. Lineage: Eukaryota; Metazoa; Chordata; Mammalia; Chiroptera; Rhinolophidae. The transcript has 4 exons.
AAGCAUUGAUCGAAUACCUACAAUGUGCCAAGCACAGAACAACCAAAUGGCCCAUGGAGUGAACAAGCCCUGAAUACUGGUUUCAUUAGUACCAUGUUCUAUAUUCAACCUACUCAGAUCAGUAGCCUGGGUGGCUGCUACUAGAAAAUCACCCCUAUAUCAGAUACUUGCUGAGGGUCUGAGCUAAGAUUCUGCCUGAGUGCAGGAAAGAACAUGUUCCCAAUCAAGAAAAGUAGAUCCCAUUGCACUUCUGCCGGAGUCAAGAAAGAGAAGCCUGGAAUUCUGGGCAAAGGAAUGACGUUUAAUCUGCUUUAGAAGGAAGUUUAACAACUCCUUAGAAGAACUGGAGAAUUUAGAGACUGAAGACCGGAUCAUUUGGCUGUUGCCAUGGUUUAUAUGAAAAAUAGUUUGCUCUGAUCAGUGUACUCUGAUCGUAUGCUCACUUCCUCCCAAUGAAUUUGAAUGGAAGAACGUGAUGUCCUGACUUGCUUAUACCUGACUUCACGUGCAUCCUUGUGAACCAGCCACUGUAGCCAAGACGGAGGAUGGGGUUAUGCUUACUGAUGAAGGCCUAAAAGGGCCUAUUCUUGCUUUGGAAAUAUGGGCGUCGAUUCUUUUCAAACUUUAGAAGAAAAAAAAGUUAAGUUCUUUUGGGAAAGGAAAGGAGCUGCUGAAGAGACAAAUAACAAUAUUCACCAAACACAGGAACCAUAAAAAAGGAUCAAAGAUGGAAUUCUGGAAAGGCACCAUAUUUAAGGGACAGGCUAAAGAAGUAAUGUCAUUGCAAGAGAAGGAGAGUGUUUGAAGAAGUAAGAGGAAAACC